ACACAUGCAAGUCGAGCGGUAACAGGGGUAAUUUAUUACCUGCUGACGAGCGCCCUACGGGUGAGUAACGCGUGGGAACAUGCCCCAAAGUGAGGAAUAAGCCCGAGAAAUCGGGUCUAAUGCCGCAUAUGAUCUUCGGAUUUCAGGAUUUAUCCGCUUUGGGAGUGGCCCGCGUUCGAUUAGGUAGUUGGUGAGGUAAAGGCUCACCAAGCCUACUUUCGAUAACUGGUCUGAGAGGAUGAUCAGUCAGACUGGAACUGAGUUACGGUCCAAACUCCUACGGGAG
Molecule: ribosomal RNA, 286 nt
Filed under: uncultured bacterium
Lineage: Bacteria
Description: partial 16S ribosomal RNA
Rfam family: Bacterial small subunit ribosomal RNA
Source: RNAcentral